Molecule: ribosomal RNA, 465 nt
Filed under: Vreelandella stevensii
Lineage: Bacteria; Pseudomonadati; Pseudomonadota; Gammaproteobacteria; Oceanospirillales; Halomonadaceae
Description: partial 16S ribosomal RNA
Rfam family: Bacterial small subunit ribosomal RNA
Source: RNAcentral
CCUACGGGUGGCUGCAGUGGGGAAUAUUGGACAAUGGGGGGAACCCUGAUCCAGCCAUGCCGCGUGUGUGAAGAAGGCCCUCGGGUUGUAAAGCACUUUCAGUGAGGAAGAACGCCUGGUGGUUAAUACCCAUCAGGAAAGACAUCACUCACAGAAGAAGCACCGGCUAACUCCGUGCCAGCAGCCGCGGUAAUACGGAGGGUGCGAGCGUUAAUCGGAAUUACUGGGCGUAAAGCGCGCGUAGGUGGCUUGAUAAGCCGGUUGUGAAAGCCCCGGGCUCAACCUGGGAACGGCAUCCGGAACUGUCAAGCUAGAGUGCAGGAGAGGAAGGUAGAAUUCCCGGUGUAGCGGUGAAAUGCGUAGAGAUCGGGAGGAAUACCAGUGGUGAAGGCGGCCUUCUGGACUGACACUGACACUGAGGUGCGAAAGCGUGGGUAGCAAACAGGAUUAGAUACCCGGGUAGUC